AUACGGAGGAUCCGAGCGUUAUCCGGAUUUAUUGGGUUUAAAGGGUGCGCAGGCGGCCAUUUAAGUCAGCGGUUAAAUCGUGGGGCUCAACCCCAUUCUGCCGUUGAUACUGGGUGGAUUGAUUGCGGUCGAGGUUGGCGGAAUUCGUUGUGUAGCGGUGAAAUGCAUAGAUAUGACGAAGAACACCGAUUGCGUAGGCAGCUGACCAGACCGCAAAUGACGCUCAUGCACGAAAGUGCGGGGAUCGAACAGGAUUAGAUACCCUGGUAGUCCGCACAGUAAACGAUGAAUACUUGUUUUCGGCGAUAUAAUGUCGGAGGCAAAGCGAAAGCGAUAAGUAUUCCACCUGGGGAGUACGCCGGCAACGGUGAAACUCAAAGGAAUUGACGGGG
This 392-nucleotide ribosomal RNA is filed under the name uncultured bacterium. Its description in RNAcentral is "partial 16S ribosomal RNA". It matches the Rfam family "Bacterial small subunit ribosomal RNA", at positions 523 to 918 of the family's 1533-position model. The record is from RNAcentral.